GGGGGACCAUCCUCCAAGGCUAAAUACUCCUGACUGACCGAUAGUGAACCAGUACCGUGAGGGAAAGGCGAAAAGAACCCCGGCGAGGGGAGUGAAAAAGAACCUGAAACCGUGUACGUACAAGCAGUGGGAGCCUCUUUAUGGGGUGACUGCGUACCUUUUGUAUAAUGGGUCAGCGACUUAUAUUCUGUAGCAAGGUUAACCGAAUAGGGGAGCCGAAGGGAAACCGAGUCUUAACUGGGCGUUAAGUUGCAGGGUAUAGACCCGAAACCCGGUGAUCUAGCCAUGGGCAGGUUGAAGGUUGGGUAACACUAACUGGAGGACCGAACCGACUAAUGUUGAAAAAUUAGCGGAUGACUUGUGGCUGGGGGUGAAAGGCCAAUCAAACCGGGAGAUAGCUGGUUCUCCCCGAAAGCUAUUUAGGUAGCGCCUCGUGAAUUCAUCUCCGGGGGUAGAGCACUGUUUCGGCAAGGGGGUCAUCCCGACUUACCAACCCGAUGCAAACUGCGAAUACCGGAGAAUGUUAUCACGGGAGACACACGGCGGGGGCUAACGUCCGUCGUGAAGAGGGAAACAACCCAGACCGCCAGCUAAGGUCCCAAAGUCAUGGUUAAGUGGGAAACGAUGUGGGAAGGCCCAGACAGCCAGGAUGUUGGCUUAGAAGCAGCCAUCAUUUAAAGAAAGCGUAAUAGCUCACUGGUCGAGUCGGCCUGCGCGGAAGAUGUAACGGGGCUAAACCAUGCACCGAAGCUGCGGCAGCGACGCUUAUGCGUUGUUGGGUAGGGGAGCGUUCUGUAAGCCUGCGAAGGUGUGCUGUGAGGCAUGCUGGAGGUAUCAGAAGUGCGAAUGCUGACAUAAGUAACGAUAAAGCGGGUGAAAAGCCCGCUCGCCGGAAGACCAAGGGUUCCUGUCCAACGUUAAUCGGGGCAGGGUGAGUCGACCCCUAAGGCGAGGCCGAAAGGCGUAGUCGAUGGGAAACAGGUUAAUAUUCCUGUACUUGGUGUUACUGCGAAGGGGGGACGGAGAAGGCUAUGUUGGCCGGGCGACGGUUGUCCCGGUUUAAGCGUGUAGGCUGGUUUUCCAGGCAAAUCCGGAAAAUCAAGGCUGAGGCGUGAUGACGAGGCACUACGGUGCUGAAGCAACAAAUGCCCUGCUUCCAGGAAAAGCCUCUAAGCAUCAGGUAACAUCAAAUCGUACCCCAAACCGACACAGGUGGUCAGGUAGAGAAUACCAAGGCGCUUGAGAGAACUCGGGUGAAGGAACUAGGCAAAAUGGUGCCGUAACUUCGGGAGAAGGCACGCUGAUACGUAGGUGAAGCGACUUGCUCGUGGAGCUGAAAUCAGUCGAAGAUACCAGCUGGCUGCAACUGUUUAUUAAAAACACAGCACUGUGCAAACACGAAAGUGGACGUAUACGGUGUGACGCCUGCCCGGUGCCGGAAGGUUAAUUGAUGGGGUUAGCGCAAGCGAAGCUCUUGAUCGAAGCCCCGGUAAACGGCGGCCGUAACUAUAACGGUCCUAAGGUAGCGAAAUUCCUUGUCGGGUAAGUUCCGACCUGCACGAAUGGCGUAAUGAUGGCCAGGCUGUCUCCACCCGAGACUCAGUGAAAUUGAACUCGCUGUGAAGAUGCAGUGUACCCGCGGCAAGACGGAAAGACCCCGUGAACCUUUACUAUAGCUUGACACUGAACAUUGAGCCUUGAUGUGUAGGAUAGGUGGGAGGCUUUGAAGUGUGGACGCCAGUCUGCAUGGAGCCGACCUUGAAAUACCACCCUUUAAUGUUUGAUGUUCUAACGUUGGCCCCUGAUCGGGGUUGCGGACAGUGUCUGGUGGGUAGUUUGACUGGGGCGGUCUCCUCCUAAAGAGUAACGGAGGAGCACGAAGGUUGGCUAAUCCUGGUCGGACAUCAGGAGGUUAGUGCAAUGGCAUAAGCCAGCUUGACUGCGAGCGUGACGGCGCGAGCAGGUGCGAAAGCAGGUCAUAGUGAUCCGGUGGUUCUGAAUGGAAGGGCCAUCGCUCAACGGAUAAAAGGUACUCCGGGGAUAACAGGCUGAUACCGCCCAAGAGUUCAUAUCGACGGCGGUGUUUGGCACCUCGAUGUCGGCUCAUCACAUCCUGGGGCUGAAGUAGGUCCCAAGGGUAUGGCUGUUCGCCAUUUAAAGUGGUACGCGAGCUGGGUUUAGAACGUCGUGAGACAGUUCGGUCCCUAUCUGCCGUGGGCGCUGGAGAACUGAGGGGGGCUGCUCCUAGUACGAGAGGACCGGAGUGGACGCAUCACUGGUGUUCGGGUUGUCAUGCCAAUGGCACUGCCCGGUAGCUAAAUGCGGAAGAGAUAAGUGCUGAAAGCAUCUAAGCACGAAACUUGCCCCGAGAUGAGUUCUCCCUGACUCCCUGAGAGUCCUGAAGGAACGUUGAAGACGACGACGUUGAUAGGCCGGGUGUGUAAGCGCAGCGAUGCGUUGAGCUAACCGGUACUAAUGAACCGUGAGGCUUAACCUU
Molecule: ribosomal RNA, 2497 nt
Filed under: Escherichia coli KTE158
Lineage: Bacteria; Pseudomonadati; Pseudomonadota; Gammaproteobacteria; Enterobacterales; Enterobacteriaceae
Description: bacterial LSU rRNA
Rfam family: Bacterial large subunit ribosomal RNA
Source: RNAcentral